GGUAAAUUCUGCCCUAUGGUUUUCUAAAUGGCUGCAGUAUUUUGACUGUGCAAAGGUAGCAUAGUAAUUAGUUUCUUAAUUAGAAGCUGGUAUGAAUGGAUUAAUGAGAAAGAUAUUUUAUUAAUUUCAUUUUUAUAAAUUAAAUUUUAAGUAAAAAUGCUUAAUUAAUUUCUAGGGACGAUAAGACCCUAUAGAACUUUAUAUAAUAUCAUAUAUUAAUAUAUUUUUAUAAAAAUAUUAUAUUAAUAUUUAUUAUAAUUUGCUGGGGUGGUAGAUAAAUUUUAACUUUAUAUUUAAAUUUCAAUAAUUAAUGUAAAUAAUGAUCCUUAUGGAAUUUAAGAUUUAGUUACCUUAGGGAUAACAGCGCAAUUUAAGUGGGGAGUUCAUAUCUAUAUUUUAUUUUGCGACCUCGAUGUUGAAUUAAGGAAAGAUUAAGAAGUAGAGUUCUUGUAUCUAAGUCUGUUCGACUU
RNAcentral lists this ribosomal RNA (470 nucleotides) under Nephotettix virescens. RNAcentral describes it as "partial large subunit ribosomal RNA". The record is from RNAcentral. Lineage: Eukaryota; Metazoa; Arthropoda; Insecta; Hemiptera; Cicadellidae.